ACAGCACCGACCAGAAUUGAGCGCCAGGAAACUGAUUAAUCGCUUCGGUGAAGAUUAUAAACGCCAAGCCUGUGCCCGACGCCGACUGUAAUCAUAUUAUAAUAAUCGCUGGUCGCACUCGGGCAGUUCCGGCAUUAUCAAAUUAUCCAGCGAUCCGUUGCCGUUCGUGAUAUUCAGCAGCGUGCCGGCAAUCGGAAUGUCCUCAGGGAUCAGAAGCGUAGGGAUUAGAAGUUUCUAAAUGGAGUGAGUUCACACGUACCGAUGAUCGAGAAGACGACGAUGCCCGCGAA
This is a long non-coding RNA of Vollenhovia emeryi, 290 nucleotides long. RefSeq lists it as uncharacterized. The transcript has 3 exons. Lineage: Eukaryota; Metazoa; Arthropoda; Insecta; Hymenoptera; Formicidae. The record is from RefSeq and is a predicted model, not a curated record.